Molecule: small nuclear RNA, 65 nt
Organism: Cricetulus griseus (Chinese hamster)
Lineage: Eukaryota; Metazoa; Chordata; Mammalia; Rodentia; Cricetidae
Source: Ensembl
AUGCUCGCUUCAGCAGCACACAUACUAAAAACUUGGAAUGAUACAGAGAAGAUUAGCAUGGCCCC